RNAcentral lists this ribosomal RNA (797 nucleotides) under uncultured bacterium. RNAcentral describes it as "bacterial SSU rRNA". It matches the Rfam family "Bacterial small subunit ribosomal RNA", at positions 651 to 1449 of the family's 1533-position model. The record is from RNAcentral.
UCAGAGGGGGGUAGAAUUNCACGUGUAGCAGUGAAAUGCGUAGAGAUGUGGAGGAAUACCGAUGGCGAAGGCAGCCCCCUGGGAUAAUACUGACGUUCAUGCUCGAAAGCGUGGGUAGCAAACAGGAUUAGAUACCCUGGUAGUNCACGCCCUAAACGAUGUCGAUUAGCUGUUGGGCAACUUGAUUGCUUAGUAGCGUAGCUAACGCGUGAAAUCGACCGCCUGGGGAGUACGGUCGCAAGAUUAAAACUCAAAGGAAUUGACGGGGACCCGCACAAGCGGUGGAUGAUGUGGAUUAAUUCGAUGCAACGCGAAGAACCUUACCUGGUCUUGACAUGUACGGAAGAACUCAGAGACGAGUUUGUGCCUUCGGGAGCCGUAACACAGGUGCUGCAUGGCUGUCGUCAGCUCGUGUCGUGAGAUGUUGGGUUAAGUCCCGCAACGAGCGCAACCCUUGUCAUUAGUUGCCAUCAUUUAGUUGGGCACUCUAAUGAGACUGCCGGUGACAAACCGGAGGAAGGUGGGGAUGACGUCAAGUCCUCAUGGCCCUUAUGACCAGGGCUUCACACGUCAUACAAUGGUCGGUACAGAGGGUAGCCAAGCCGCGAGGUGGAGCCAAUCCCAGAAAACCGAUCGUAGUCCGGAUUGCACUCUGCAACUCGAGUGCAUGAAGUCGGAAUCGCUAGUAAUCGCAGGUCAGCAUACUGCGGUGAAUACGUUCCCGGGUCUUGUACACACCGCCCGUCACACCAUGGGAGUGGGGGAUACCAGAAGUAGGUAGGGUAACCGCAAGGAGC